RNAcentral lists this ribosomal RNA (482 nucleotides) under uncultured bacterium. Its description in RNAcentral is "bacterial SSU rRNA". It matches the Rfam family "Bacterial small subunit ribosomal RNA", at positions 8 to 526 of the family's 1533-position model. The record is from RNAcentral.
AGAGUUUGAUCAUGGCUCAGAAUCAACGCUGGCGGCGCGCUUAACACAUGCAAGUCGCACGAGAAAGGGGCAACCUGAGUAAAGUGGCGCACGGGUGAGUAACACGUGGGUGAUCUGCCUCUUAGUGGGGGAUAACUCUGGGAAACCGGAGCUAAUACCGCAUAAGCUCGAGAGAGGAAAGCAGCAAUGCGCUGAGAGAGGAGCCCGCGGCCGAUUAGCUAGUUGGUAAGGUAACGGCUUACCAAGGCUGAGAUCGGUAGCCGGCCUGAGAGGGCACACGGCCACACUGGCACUGAAACACGGGCCAGACUCCUACGGGAGGCAGCAGUGGGGAAUCUUGCACAAUGGGGGAAACCCUGAUGCAGCGACGCCGCGUGAGCGAUGAAGCCCCUCGGGGUGUAAAGCUCUUUCGACAGGAAAGAUCAUGACGGUACCUGGAGAAGAAGCUGCGGCUAACUACGUGCCAGCCGCCGCGGUAAUAC